UUAACUAAAAUUUGUUUACAGUUCGAACGUCUGCCUACGUUUGCCUUAGGAGCGCUGUUCCAACUGCAUACAAAUUUCAGUUA
This 83-nucleotide microRNA precursor is filed under the name Bombyx mori (domestic silkworm). Its description in RNAcentral is "mir-2807 microRNA precursor family". It matches the Rfam family "mir-2807 microRNA precursor family". The record is from Rfam by way of RNAcentral. Lineage: Eukaryota; Metazoa; Arthropoda; Insecta; Lepidoptera; Bombycidae.